Schizosaccharomyces pombe (fission yeast) is the source of this 1638-nucleotide non-coding RNA. NCBI's taxonomy places the organism in Eukaryota, Fungi, Ascomycota, Schizosaccharomycetes, Schizosaccharomycetales, Schizosaccharomycetaceae. The record is from the annotation of a GenBank genome assembly.
AAAUCCACCACGGCCACCGAAUCCACCACGACCGCCAAAUCCACCGCGACCACCACGGCUACCUCCACCAGUACGAGGAGUUGAAAAGUCCAAACGACAUGGGCGACCAGCAAUAAAAUGACCGUUCAUUUCCACACAUUUCUUGGCAGAGUCAAUAUCAGAGAAAGUAACAUAACCGAAACCCUUAAGACGUCCUGACUGAGGAUCUGUGGGCAAACGAAUGGAUUGAAUGUCACCGCAACCGCCAAAAGCCGUACUGAGAUCAUCUUCAGUUGCGUUAAAAGACAAAUUUCCAACAAAUACGGUAUCACUAGGUUCAGAUAAUUGGUCUCCAAAAUUACCCGCACGUUGUUGAGCAUAUGGUUGAGGGUUGGCUGGGCGAGGAUUAGAGAGAUCUAAGUUGACCAUACGACCAUCAAUUUCCUUGGUACCAUUAGCGGCAACAGCAGCCUUAGCAGCCUCAGGGGUCUCAAAAUCAACGUAGCCGUAACCCUUUGAGCGACCGCUUUGGCCAUCCAUAAUAACACGUGCACCAACAAUUGUACCGUACUCUUCAAAUUCCUGCCCUAACCACUGAUCAUCUACGUUCCAAGAAAGACGACCGACGAAAACAGUGCAAGUCUCGUUAGAAUCUUGAGAAGGCUUGGUAAUCUUAGCAGGUCUUUCUUCAGAAGCAGGCUCGGCUUUACGUUUCUUCUCGUCUUCAGAGCUGGAUUCGGAUUCAGAAUCAGAGGAAGAGUCGCUGUCUCCAGAUUCUGAGGAGGAAUCUGACGAGGAUUCGGAGUCAGAAGAAGACUCGCUGGAGCCUUCUUUCUUCUCUUCAGUCUUCUCGACCACCUCUUCUUCUUCCUCAGAUUCAGAUGAGGAAGAUUCGGAUUCAGAUUCAGAUGAGGAAGACUCGGAAGAAGAGUCACUAGAGCUCUCCUUCUUUUCUUCAAUUUUUACAACAGCCUCUUCUUCCUCUUCAGACUCAGAGGAGGAAGAUGAUUCGCUGGAACUCUCCUUCUUCUCUUCAGUUUUCACAAUCACUUCUUCUUCAGACUCAGACGAAGAGGAUUCAGAUGAAGAUGAUUCGGACUCUGAAGAACUAGAUUCGGAUUCUGAAGAGGAAGACUCGGAUUCUGAUGAGCUAGAUUCAGACUCGGAUUCUGAGGAGCUUUCUUCCUUCUUCUUAGAUUUCUUUUGCUUUUUUACUGAUUUCUUUGAAGGUUCGGGACUAGAAGCACGCUUAGCCUCCUUUUUAGAUUUUUUAGGGGAGACAUCGGUUUUAGAGCUUUGCUUUGCAAUCUCUUUAGCAGCCUCCUUAGUAAUCUUCUUGGACUUGGAAGGUUUCUCAAUGGCACCCUUCUUUGAUGCAGUCUCCUUCACUGAUUUCUUAACGGAGGUUUUAUCCUUUUUUGCCAUUAUAUUCACAACCUAUACCAAAAGCCCGUUUAAAAGAAUUUGGGAGUUUUUUAGUUUGACUGCUGGUACGGCGCGACAAGCUGCUAUAUAUAGCCAAAAAAAUUUUUACCGAUGAUAUAUGUACCUGAAGCCGUAUACUAGUAUAGCAAAUUUUCUAGACGUAUUCGUUAAACUACUAAUAUAGAAGCUUGUUCAACUACUACUAUUUUUUAUAAAAGCGAGUUUAACUAAUUA